Molecule: ribosomal RNA, 403 nt
Filed under: Verrucomicrobiota bacterium
Lineage: Bacteria; Pseudomonadati; Verrucomicrobiota
Description: Verrucomicrobia bacterium partial 16S ribosomal RNA
Rfam family: Bacterial small subunit ribosomal RNA
Source: RNAcentral
UGGGGAAUAUUGCACAAUGGGGGAAACCCUGAUGCAGCGACGCCGCGUGAGCGAAGAAGGUUUUCGAAUCGUAAAGCUCUGUCCUAUGGGAAGAUAAUGACGGUACCAUGGGAGGAAGCCCCGGCUAACUACGUGCCAGCAGCCGCGGUAAUACGUAGGGGGCAAGCGUUGUCCGGAAUCACUGGGCGUAAAGGGUUCGCAGGCGGAAAUGCAAGUCAGUUGUGAAAGGCAGAGGCUCAACCUCUGUAAGCAAUUGAAACUGUAUUUCUUGAGAUGUGGAGAGGCAAGUGGAAUUCCUAGUGUAGCGGUGAAAUGCGUAGAUAUUAGGAAGAAUACCGGUGGCGAAGGCGACUUGCUGGACACAAACUGACGCUGAGGAACGAAAGCGUGGGUAGCAAACAGG